This is a non-coding RNA of Coffea arabica (coffee), 404 nucleotides long. The record is from RefSeq and is a predicted model, not a curated record. NCBI's taxonomy places the organism in Eukaryota, Viridiplantae, Streptophyta, Magnoliopsida, Gentianales, Rubiaceae.
GAAGAAAGUGAUCCUGUGGAGCAGGAGAAGUCAAACUUAGUAACAGAAUCCUCUCGACAUUGUGGGCGGUUAGCACACAUUGCUCAUCAGCUUAUAUCUCUGUCGGAGAGCAAAUGGUAGCUGUGAAACACUCAGUUCCAUGGUUGAUUGGAUUUUAAGCUUAAAGACAUUGAGUGAGAGGGUGAAGAAGAAACCAGCCGGUGUCGUGCAAUCUAUCAAAUUCUCCUUGGUUGGUCUAACAUGUGGGCAAUCUCUUUUGAUCAAGAAACGGGUUUUGAAAUUUCUUUUUAUUGAAAAUAAUUUAUGGAUGACUCGUACUAGUAGUAUAUGAUGUAUGACUCACUAUUGUAGCACUACUAUCGUUUGUUAUAUCUCGUUUUUAUUAUUUUCUUUUUCCCCUUUUA